RNAcentral lists this ribosomal RNA (558 nucleotides) under Brevundimonas vesicularis. RNAcentral's name for it is "bacterial SSU rRNA". It matches the Rfam family "Bacterial small subunit ribosomal RNA", at positions 97 to 690 of the family's 1533-position model. The record is from RNAcentral. Lineage: Bacteria; Pseudomonadati; Pseudomonadota; Alphaproteobacteria; Caulobacterales; Caulobacteraceae.
GGCGGACGGGUGAGUAACACGUGGGAACGUGCCUUUAGGUUCGGAAUAACUCAGGGAAACUUGUGCUAAUACCGAAUGUGCCCUUCGGGGGAAAGAUUUAUCGCCUUUAGAGCGGCCCGCGUCUGAUUAGCUAGUUGGUGAGGUAAAGGCUCACCAAGGCGACGAUCAGUAGCUGGUCUGAGAGGAUGAUCAGCCACAUUGGGACUGAGACACGGCCCAAACUCCUACGGGAGGCAGCAGUGGGGAAUCUUGCGCAAUGGGCGAAAGCCUGACGCAGCCAUGCCGCGUGAAUGAUGAAGGUCUUAGGAUUGUAAAAUUCUUUCACCGGGGACGAUAAUGACGGUACCCGGAGAAGAAGCCCCGGCUAACUUCGUGCCAGCAGCCGCGGUAAUACGAAGGGGGCUAGCGUUGCUCGGAAUUACUGGGCGUAAAGGGAGCGUAGGCGGACAUUUAAGUCAGGGGUGAAAUCCCGGGGCUCAACCUCGGAAUUGCCUUUGAUACUGGGUGUCUUGAGUAUGAGAGAGGUGUGUGGAACUCCGAGUGUAGAGGUGAAAUUCG